Molecule: long non-coding RNA, 996 nt
Filed under: Anser cygnoides (Swan goose)
Lineage: Eukaryota; Metazoa; Chordata; Aves; Anseriformes; Anatidae
Description: lncRNA (ENSACDG00005004260.1)
Source: RNAcentral
GAGGGGUCCGUGGGGGCCGCGAAGGGCAGCGGUGCUCGGAGACUGGGCAGCGGUGCGGUCGGGUGAGGCCAGGUCAGUCCAGCAACAGCACUGCGCUUGGCCCCAGCCCAUCACAGCCCGAUCGUGCAGCUGGGGGUGAUGGCACGCGGCGAUGGCGCGCAGCGAUGGCACACGGCGAUGGCACGGCGCUGCUCAUCAGGAGGCGACAGGAGCGGCGAGGGCGCAGAAACGCAGAGCCACGCUGGGGCACCUCGGGGUCAUCGCCGCCCUUCCUCAGGCUGCGUCCCCUGCUGCAGUUCCGCCUGGAAGAAAGAAAGAGCUCGCAAAAACCCUGUGAAGCACUUGAACAUGAAUGGCUUAUGUGAAACUACGAUCGUUCCUUCUCAAGUCAGUCACCGUUCUCACGCUGGGGCUGCUUCCCCCGUUAAGCUCCAGCUGCACAACCCCCGCGCCGCCCCAGACCGACGGCUCCGCUCAGCGCGCUCCCCCUGCCCGGCCGGGGCCGGUGCCAGCGCCGCACCACGGUUCAUCCCAGCUGUAAUUUCACCUCGGUGAAGGAACCUUACUGCACAGACCCUUAUAGGGACAAGAAAUACGUCUAAUUACCAUAUCCUUAGAAUAGACGUAAUAUAAAUUUCAUUACUCACUUAAAAGUUCUAAAGUUAACAGCAUAAACUUGAAGUUGAGUAAUUAAGUAAUCCUUAUAUAGACACUUAUUAAAGUAUUUAUACAUAUUAUCUUAAAUCUACAUCUAUCAUUUUGCCAAUUAAAAUUAGGACUUUAAUUGCAAUUAAGUAAUUUAAUUGCCAAUUGAACAGCAAAAUUGCUAAGUGACUAAUUUUAAUGCCUAUUUUAAUUACCAAUCAUGACUGGGGAGGGAGCUAAUCAAGCGGUAUCAGAGUAAUGAUGUGAAAAAAAACGGAGAACAAACAUUCAAGACUACAUGCUUUUAAAAAAGAACUCUAAAUUAAAUAAAUGCAAACACAAUUUUAUACA